RNAcentral lists this unclassified non-coding RNA (1006 nucleotides) under Hevea brasiliensis (rubber tree). The record is from RNAcentral. Lineage: Eukaryota; Viridiplantae; Streptophyta; Magnoliopsida; Malpighiales; Euphorbiaceae.
AAAAAAUCAUUUGGCACAUUCACUUUUAAUUGUAUCUCACUUAGUAUCAAAACAAUAUAUAUAAAAGUGCAACUAUUAAACCCCUGAAUUUUAUAAAAAUAUAACAAGAAGUCAAAACAUGUGUAAAUCACAGUUGCGCAUUCAUCAAUCGCAGGGGUUAAACAGCUAUACUUUUUCAUGUGGUAUAUGAGAUACAAUGGAGUGCCAAAUGACUUUUCAAGUAAAUGGCAUGGCCAAAAAAUGUUUUCGGCCAAACUUUUUACUCUAUUUAACACCAACAGAAACCAGGUGACGACGUCUUUUCCAACUACAAACUCACCCCCCUCCUACCUUUAUCACCUCUCCAUUACAAAUUAUCAGCAGCUUCUUUAUUUCAUUUUGUACCACAAAGGCUUCCAUGCACCAUUUUAUUACUUUCCCCGUGUAAAAACAUCCAACUGAACUCCCUGCAAAAUGCUUCAUGCAUCAUAAUUUUGAAAACCGCUUCACCGAUGAAAUUCUUCCCUCUUCUCUGCAACAAAAUUCUUUUCAGCUAAACAAGUUUCGGUUCCAGCGGAGGUUGGGAUGGGGGAUUCUUAGCAUCUUGGAUGGCCUUCUGGAGUUCUCCAUACAUUCUCACGGAACACUCUGCGAAGUUAUUCAACUGGCCAAGAAAUCCCUCCAAGCUUGAUCGAAAAUGCUCAAAACCUGAAAUACAGUCUUCUGAAGCUUCGUCUCUCAACAUAUUAAUUCCUGAAUCACUGCCAUUAUCAGCCUUCCACGACCCUGGGUUUGCACUCUUCCCUUGGUUCUUUUCUUGGCGGGGCAAAAGGUGAGCAGUUUCUCCUGCCAAACCCUUCGUAGCAUCCACAACCUGCUUUGCAGGCAAGGCCUCAAGCUUAUCCAACCAAGUACCACAGGUGACAUAUAUUGGAGGGCCACUUCUUCUCAAAGUCAAUGAAGGGGACUGUUGUUUCCUUUUCUUCUUUGUAGGUUUUUCUGGAAGCAAGACACAUUUGAAAAGCCA